RNAcentral lists this transfer RNA (99 nucleotides) under Rhodococcus (subgen. Prescottella) equi. RNAcentral describes it as "Prescottella equi tRNA-Pro". Lineage: Bacteria; Bacillati; Actinomycetota; Actinomycetes; Mycobacteriales; Nocardiaceae. The record is from RNAcentral. RNAcentral also lists the same sequence under 1 other name.
CGCGAGCAGGUUGCGGUGCGAGUGCAGCGCGCCCUUGGGGCGGCCGCUGGUGCCGGACGUGUACAGGAUCACCGACGGAUCGUCCUCGUCGACCGCGAC